ACCAUAGCGGAGAGGAUACACCCGUUCCCAUCCCGAACACGGCAGUUAAGCUCUCCAGCGCCGAUGGUACUGGGGUUCGUCCCCGGGAGAGUAGGUCGUUGCCGGAA
Molecule: ribosomal RNA, 107 nt
Filed under: Desulfoscipio geothermicus
Lineage: Bacteria; Bacillati; Bacillota; Clostridia; Eubacteriales; Desulfallaceae
Also listed under: 1 other name
Source: RNAcentral